GCGCCAGCGUCCCACAAGUCCUGCGUUUUUAGAGCCAUUCAUUAACAAACAGCAACACAGCGGCAGCACAGCGAACAUGUCAGACAAGAAACAGACCGUGGACCUGGGCUUACUGGAGGAAGAUGACGAGUUUGAAGAAUUCCCAGCCGAAGAUUGGACGGGGCUGGAUGAAGAUGAAGAUGCUCAUGUUUGGGAAGACAACUGGGAUGAUGACAAUGUAGAGGAUGAUUUCUCAAAUCAACUGAGGGCUGAGCUGGAAAAACAUGGUUACAAGAUGGAGACGUCAUAGCGGCUGACAAGGCCUUUCAGUAUUCAACGACAUUGGAUAUGGACAUUUAUAUUUGAACAUGGUUGACCACACACCAACUGAAGAGAUUUGAUGAUGUUGAUUUGUUUCUCUCUUUUUUUUUUUUUUUUUUUUUUUUUUUUGUAAAAAAAAUUGAUAGAAGUAAAGUGUUUGGAGAAAACUGUU
Molecule: long non-coding RNA, 472 nt
Organism: Micropterus salmoides (largemouth bass)
Lineage: Eukaryota; Metazoa; Chordata; Actinopteri; Centrarchiformes; Centrarchidae
Exons: 3
Source: RefSeq, a predicted model, not a curated record